This 562-nucleotide ribosomal RNA is filed under the name Penicillium sp. MYf133. RNAcentral's name for it is "eukaryotic LSU rRNA". The stretch from base 204 to 356 matches the Rfam family "5.8S ribosomal RNA". The record is from RNAcentral. Lineage: Eukaryota; Fungi; Ascomycota; Eurotiomycetes; Eurotiales; Aspergillaceae.
UAGCCGUAGAGACCUGCGGAGGAUAUUACCGAGUGAGGGCCCUUUGGGUCCAACCUCCCACCCGUGUUUAUUUACCUCGUUGCUUCGGCGGGCCCGCCUUAACUGGCCGCCGGGGGGCUCACGCCCCCGGGCCCGCGCCCGCCGAAGACACCCCCGAACUCUGCCUGAAGAUUGUCGUCUGAGUGAAAAUAUAAAUUAUUUAAAACUUUCAACAACGGAUCUCUUGGUUCCGGCAUCGAUGAAGAACGCAGCGAAAUGCGAUACGUAAUGUGAAUUGCAAAUUCAGUGAAUCAUCGAGUCUUUGAACGCACAUUGCGCCCCCUGGUAUUCCGGGGGGCAUGCCUGUCCGAGCGUCAUUGCUGCCCUCAAGCCCGGCUUGUGUGUUGGGCCCCGUCCUCCGAUUCCGGGGGACGGGCCCGAAAGGCAGCGGCGGCACCGCGUCCGGUCCUCGAGCGUAUGGGGCUUUGUCACCCGCUCUGUAGGCCCGGCCGGCGCUUGCCGAUCAACCCAAAUUUUUAUCCAGGUUGACCUCGGAUCAGGUAGGGAUACCCGCUGAACUUAA